GUGAGUCAUCGAAUCUUUGAACGCACCUUGCGCUCCUUGGUAUUCUGAGGAGCAUGCCUGUUUGAGUGUCUUGAAGUCAUCAACCCUGCCUGCUUUUUUUGUGGGUGUGGGGUUGGAUCCCUGGGGAUUGCUGCUGUCAAAGGCUGCUCCCCCCAAAUGCAUCGGUUGGACCUGUGGGUCGAACUCGACUGGGCGUUGUACCAUCCUCGCUCUCCCCGAGACGUUCCCCUUCCGUGUCCUCCCUAGACUUGACCCUGUGGAGUGGGCGGUCAAACUUAAAAACCUUGAAAUCUGACCUCAAAUCAGGUAGGACUACCCGCUGAACUUAAGCAUAUCAAUAAGCGGAGGA
Molecule: unclassified non-coding RNA, 349 nt
Filed under: fungal sp.
Lineage: Eukaryota; Fungi
Description: partial contains 5.8S ribosomal RNA, internal transcribed spacer 2, and large subunit ribosomal RNA
Rfam family: 5.8S ribosomal RNA (bases 1-71)
Source: RNAcentral